This 253-nucleotide ribosomal RNA is filed under the name uncultured bacterium. Its description in RNAcentral is "partial 16S ribosomal RNA". It matches the Rfam family "Bacterial small subunit ribosomal RNA", at positions 524 to 776 of the family's 1533-position model. The record is from RNAcentral.
UACAGAGGUCCCGAGCGUUGUUCGGAUUCACUGGGCGUAAAGGGUGCGUAGGUGGUGAGGCAAGUCGGAUGUGAAAUCUCCAAGCUCAACUUGGAAAUGGCAUUGGAAACUACCUUGCUGGAGGUUUGGAGGGGGGACUGGAAUACUUGGUGUAGCAGUGAAAUGCGUAGAUAUCAAGUGGAACACCAGUGGCGAAGGCGGGUCUCUGGACAGUUCCUGACGCUGAGGCACGAAGGCCAGGGGAGCAAACGGG